CGUUUCUUGUUUCUUCUUUAGGUUUUAACAACAAAAAUCAGAAGUUAAUUUUGUUUCCCCCUUCAGCAAAGGAAACAGUUUCCUUAGGGUUUCUUCAACCCCCAAAUGCCGCCGUUCAGCCUUAUGCUAGAGCCCCGAUCACGACGAAGCCGGCAACAACUGGGUGACUCCAACGAAAGGUACUGCGUGCGGGGAAGGCGCGAGAUUCGCGGCGGCGAGGGGCGCGAUGUGCGGGAUCGACGAGCGCAACGCGCGGGAGCAGUUGCAGCGGCGCUGAGGCAGGGGCUGUUAGGGUUUCUGAAAUUUUGACGUUUUUUGGGCUGGGGUCUGAAAAUUAGUUGUUGGGCCUGUUAAUGGUUUGGGCCUGGGCAUUAUUGGGUUUGUACAAUAAGGAUUCAGAUUUUAAUUACUUUUAAGAAUUAUUAAAAUAAUAGAAUUUAUAAAUAUUUUGAAAUAUACAA
Molecule: long non-coding RNA, 461 nt
Organism: Gossypium raimondii (Peruvian cotton)
Lineage: Eukaryota; Viridiplantae; Streptophyta; Magnoliopsida; Malvales; Malvaceae
Exons: 2
Source: RefSeq, a predicted model, not a curated record